Molecule: ribosomal RNA, 253 nt
Filed under: uncultured bacterium
Lineage: Bacteria
Description: partial 16S ribosomal RNA
Rfam family: Bacterial small subunit ribosomal RNA
Source: RNAcentral
UACGUAGGGGGCAAGCGUUGUCCGGAAUCAUUGGGCGUAAAGAGCGUGUAGGCGGUUCGGUAAGUCUGUCGUGAAAUCCUGAGGCUCAACCUCGGACGUGCGAUGGAUACUGCCGGGCUAGAGGAUGGUAGAGGCGAGUGGAAUUCCCGGUGUAGCGGUGAAAUGCGCAGAUAUCGGGAGGAACACCAGUAGCGAAGGCGGCUCGCUGGGCCAUUCCUGACGCUGAGACGCGAAAGCUAGGGGAGCGAACAGG